RNAcentral lists this ribosomal RNA (541 nucleotides) under uncultured bacterium. Its description in RNAcentral is "bacterial SSU rRNA". It matches the Rfam family "Bacterial small subunit ribosomal RNA", at positions 8 to 526 of the family's 1533-position model. The record is from RNAcentral.
AGAGUUUGAUCCUGGCUCAGAGCGAACGCUGGCGGCGUACUUAACACAUGCAAGUCGAACGAGGAUCAUCCGUGUAGCAAUACAUUGGUGGUCCUAGUGGCGCACGGGUGAGUAACACGUGGGUGACCUGCCCUAGAGCUCGGGAUACCCCCUCGAAAGGGGGGCUAAUACCGGAUACGUUCCUUGGUCGAAAGAUCGGGGAGGAAAGGUGGCGCAAGCUGCCGCUCUUGGAGGGGCUCGCGGCCUAUCAGCUAGUUGGCGGGGUAACGGCCCACCAAGGCUAUGACGGGUAGCUGGUCUGAGAGGACGACCAGCCACACGGGGACUGAGACACGGCCCCGACUCCUACGGGAGGCAGCAGUGGGGAAUUUUCCGCAAUGGGCGAAAGCCUGACGGAGUGACGCCGCGUGUGGGACGAGGGCCUUCGGGUCGUAAACCACUGUCAGUGGGAAAGAUGGGUGUCGGGGCUAAUACCUCCGGCAUCUGACGGUACCUGCAGAGGAAGCCCCGGCCAACUCUGUGCCAGCCGCCGCGGUAAUAC